CCUACGGGAGGCAGCAGUGAGGAAUAUUGGUCAAUGGACGAGAGUCUGAACCAGCCAAGUAGCGUGAAGGAUGACUGCCCUAUGGGUUGUAAACUUCUUUUAUAUGGGAAUAAAAUGUUCCACGUGUGGGAUUUUGUAUGUACCAUAUGAAUAAGGAUCGGCUAACUCCGUGCCAGCAGCCGCGGUAAUACGGAGGGUGCGAGCGUUAUCCGGAUUUAUUGGGUUUAAAGGGAGCGUAGGUGGAUUGUUAAGUCAGUUGUGAAAGUUUGCGGCUUAACCGUAAAAUUGCAGUUGAAAAUGGCAGUCCUGAGUACAGUAGAGGUAGGCGGAAUUCGUGGUGUAGCGGUGAAAUGCUUAGAUAUCACGAAGAACUCCGAUUGCGAAGGCAGUUCACUGGACUGCAACUGACACUGAGGCUCGAAAGUGUGGGUAUCAAACAGGAUUAGAUACCCUUGUAGUC
This 460-nucleotide ribosomal RNA is filed under the name uncultured bacterium. RNAcentral describes it as "partial 16S ribosomal RNA". It matches the Rfam family "Bacterial small subunit ribosomal RNA", at positions 338 to 795 of the family's 1533-position model. The record is from RNAcentral.